Ictidomys tridecemlineatus (thirteen-lined ground squirrel) is the source of this 99-nucleotide small nuclear RNA. The record is from Ensembl. Lineage: Eukaryota; Metazoa; Chordata; Mammalia; Rodentia; Sciuridae.
GAGCAAUGCACAUAUACUAAAAUUGGGGUGACACAGAGAAGACUAGCAUGGCCUAUGUGCAAGGAUGACAUACAGAUUCUUGAAGCAUUCCAUAUUUUU